RNAcentral lists this ribosomal RNA (489 nucleotides) under uncultured bacterium. RNAcentral describes it as "partial 16S ribosomal RNA". It matches the Rfam family "Bacterial small subunit ribosomal RNA", at positions 28 to 507 of the family's 1533-position model. The record is from RNAcentral.
GACGAACGCUGGCGGCGUGCUUAACACAUGCAAGUCGAACGGAAAGGCCCCCAUCUUGGUGGGGGUGCUCGAGUGGCGAACGGGUGAGUAACACGUGGGUGAUCUGCCCUGUACUUCGGGAUAAGCUUGGGAAACUGGGUCUAAUACCGGAUAGGACCAUGGUUUAGUGUCUCAUGGUGGAAAGAUUAUUGUUUUGGUGCAGGAUGAGCUCGCGGCCUAUCAGCUUGUUGGUGGGGUAAUGGCCUACCAAGGCGUCGACGGGUAGCCGGCCUGAGAGGGUGGACGGCCACAUUGGGACUGAGAUACGGCCCAGACUCCUACGGGAGGCAGCAGUGGGGAAUAUUGCACAAUGGGCGCAAGCCUGAUGCAGCGCCGCCGCGUGGGGGAUGACGGCCUUCGGGUUGUAAACUCCUUUCGUUAGGGACGAAGCCGCACUUUUUUUGGGUGUGGUGACGGUACCUUUGUUAAGAAGCACCGGCUAACUACGUG